GUGCUGCUGAUGUUGAUUGAUUUAAAGACAUGUUGAAAACGUGUAAAUACAGGAUGUUGGACUGARCAGAAAACUCAACUCUUGUCUUUCUGUUGACAGACUGGUGGCGGUACAUCGCUCUGGCUGUGGGGUUAGCCACAAUCGUUAUUCUGGUUGUGAUUGUCGUUAGAUGGAGAAGAAACAAAGGGAACAAAACGCAGACGGACGAAAACACGGUUGACCCUCCAGAUGAUGUUGCCUACGCCUCCAUCAGCCACUCCACCAACAGCGCGGCCCAGAUCCGGGGUGGUGAUGAUGCAGUGACCUACAGCACUGUGAAAGCUCCCUCCUCUACUACUGGACCCUCAGCUGAUCCCAGCCUCUACGCCACCAUCACAUUCAGACCAUAGUAGAGUAACAUUUGACAUCGAUAUUAUUUUAGGAAUCAUUUGUUCCAGCUUUCUGCCGUGAAAACAAAGUCACUCUUAAUAAUAGUUGUSAUUGUCAUUAAAAGAGAAACAAAGGUGGGAACAUUGAUUUAGUUUCAACUGCUGCCAAGGCCAGUCUAUAAAGUUUUAUAUCUGAAGUCACUUUUAUGGUGUGGACUGGAUUGAACCAGUGUUCAGCCAUUUUAUUGAUUCUUGUAGUGGGUCGUUCCAAAACCUGGAAUAUUUGAUCCUGUGUCUUCAUGUUCUUCUGCUCCAGCUGUUACUCUUAUACAUUACAAUGGUGAAGUGUUAUUUGUAUGAUGAUAUGAAUSAUUGUAUUUGUAUGAACCAAUGUGUUGUAAAAAAACGUUUUGCCAGAAGGGGGAGCUGUAAGUUAAGUUACUGCUGCAAUGUUAAAGUAAUAAUAAUAAUAAUAAGAUGGUAUMUUUUCAUAGAGAUAUUGUACGUUUAGCUGUUAUACACAUGUUAGUGUUUUAUGCUGUGAUGAAAAUCCUGCAGGUUGAUACUCGGAGGUUUGAGCUGUUUGAGUUUUUAAAUGAUGAUGAUUUACAUGCAACAAGAUGAAGCUUCCCCACCUCAGUGAAUAUCAGUGUUUAUAACAACAUUUAGUGCUUUGAUUAAACCUGAUGAUCUGUUUGUA
Non-coding RNA from Paralichthys olivaceus (Japanese flounder), 1068 nucleotides. The record is from RefSeq and is a predicted model, not a curated record. Lineage: Eukaryota; Metazoa; Chordata; Actinopteri; Pleuronectiformes; Paralichthyidae.